This 578-nucleotide ribosomal RNA is filed under the name Dujonia oleophila. Its description in RNAcentral is "eukaryotic LSU rRNA". It matches the Rfam family "Eukaryotic large subunit ribosomal RNA", at positions 64 to 659 of the family's 3401-position model. The record is from RNAcentral. Lineage: Eukaryota; Fungi; Ascomycota; Pichiomycetes; Serinales; Debaryomycetaceae.
ACUCCAGGCAUGCCUUAGUACGGCGAGUGAAGCGGCAAAAGCUCAAAUUUGAAAUCUAGCACUUUCAGUGUUCGAGUUGUAAUUUGAAGAAGGUAACUUUGGAAUUGGCUCUUGUCUAUGUUCCUUGGAACAGGACGUCACAGAGGGUGAGAAUCCCGUGCGAUGAGAUGUCCAAUUCUAUGUAAAGUGCUUUCGAAGAGUCGAGUUGUUUGGGAAUGCAGCUCUAAGUGGGUGGUAAAUUCCAUCUAAAGCUAAAUAUUGGCGAGAGACCGAUAGCGAACAAGUACAGUGAUGGAAAGAUGAAAAGAACUUUGAAAAGAGAGUGAAAAAGUACGUGAAAUUGUUGAAAGGGAAGGGCUUGAGAUCAGACUUGGUAUUUUGUGUUCCUUAUCCUUCUUGGAUUAGGUUCCUCACAGCUUACCGGGCCAGCAUCGGUUUGGAUGGCAGGAUAAUGACAUUGGAAUGUAGCUUUGCUUCGGUGAAGUGUUAUAGACUUUGUUGAUACUGCCUAUCUAGACCGAGGACUGCGUCUUUGACUAGGAUGCUGGCGUAAUGAUCUUAAGCCGCCCGUCUUGAAA